RNAcentral lists this long non-coding RNA (164 nucleotides) under Rhipicephalus microplus (southern cattle tick). RNAcentral describes it as "uncharacterized LOC119187443". Lineage: Eukaryota; Metazoa; Arthropoda; Arachnida; Ixodida; Ixodidae. The record is from RNAcentral.
GCGGCAGCAGCGGAUCUGCGCACAGCCUACUGAACCAUUGCAUAUUGUUUUUACAGCGCAUGUCGUCGGUGCACUGCCCCGUGUCAAGGGAAAUACGGUGGUCAUCGUGGGAGUGACUGCUGACCUUUCAAAUAGCCUCGACGCAUCGCCCCGUAUCAUAUCAG